CCCUUAGAUGUUCUGGGCUGCACGCGCGCUACACUGAAGCGUUCAACGAGUAUUUCACCUUGCCCGGGAGGGUUGGGUAAUCUUUUUAAAACGCUUCGUGAUGGGGAUAGAUUAUUGCAAUUAUUAAUCUUCAACGAGGAAUUCCUAGUAAGCGCGAGUCAUCAGCUCGUGCUGAUUACGUCCCUGCCCUUUGUACACACCGCCCGUCGCACCUACCGAUUGAGUGAUCCGGUGAAUAAUUCGGACUGCAGCAGUGCUUGGUCCUCCGGGCUUUGCAGCGGAAAGUUUAGUGAACCUUAUCACUUAGAGGAAGGAGAAGUCGUAACA
Molecule: ribosomal RNA, 327 nt
Filed under: uncultured eukaryote
Lineage: Eukaryota
Description: partial 18S ribosomal RNA
Rfam family: Eukaryotic small subunit ribosomal RNA
Source: RNAcentral